AGGGUUGCGACUGGGCAUCGCG
RNAcentral lists this microRNA (22 nucleotides) under Drosophila ananassae. RNAcentral's name for it is "Dan-Mir-219_3p (mature (co-guide))". Lineage: Eukaryota; Metazoa; Arthropoda; Insecta; Diptera; Drosophilidae. RNAcentral also lists the same sequence under 4 other names. The record is from RNAcentral.